Molecule: ribosomal RNA, 152 nt
Filed under: Gowardia nigricans
Lineage: Eukaryota; Fungi; Ascomycota; Lecanoromycetes; Lecanorales; Parmeliaceae
Description: 5.8S ribosomal RNA
Rfam family: 5.8S ribosomal RNA
About the family: 5.8S ribosomal RNA (5.8S rRNA) is a component of the large subunit of the eukaryotic ribosome. It is transcribed by RNA polymerase I as part of the 45S precursor that also contains 18S and 28S rRNA.
Source: RNAcentral
CUUUCAACAACGGAUCUCUUGGUUCCAGCAUCGAUGAAGAACGCAGCGAAAUGCGAUAAGUAAUGUGAAUUGCAGAAUUCAGUGAAUCAUCGAAUCUUUGAACGCACAUUGCGCCCCUCGGUAUUCCGGGGGGCAUGUCUGUUCGAGCGUCA